AUGAUGACGCGCAAGAGAACAUCUACACCAUCCAAGACGGAAGCCUGGAAGCGGAGAAGGAAGCGCCAAGAAGAAGGCAGCAACUCCCAGGCGACCCCGUGCGCACGGGCCCCUCCGACCCCGUGCCCACGGGCCUCCCAGGCUGGCAGUCCUGAAGACCCCGUGCGCACGGGCUUGUACCGUGCCCACGGGACCCCCGUGUCCACGGGCCUAACGGACCCCGUGCGCACGGGCCCUUGUGUCCGGUCCCUGGAUACCCCGUGCGCUCGGGCUCCACUUACCCCGUGCACACGGGGCCCCCUGAGAGAUAUUGCGGGCUUUGCCCUUGUUUUACCAUUUCGCCCCCACUUACCCCUCUCUUUGCCUAGGACUAUAUAUACUCCUUCAUCUCCUCCAUUUAGACUUAGCUAA
RNAcentral lists this ribosomal RNA (411 nucleotides) under Triticum aestivum (bread wheat). RNAcentral's name for it is "partial small subunit ribosomal RNA". The record is from RNAcentral. Lineage: Eukaryota; Viridiplantae; Streptophyta; Magnoliopsida; Poales; Poaceae.